UCCAGAACUGCAACUUUCACUUCCAAGUCACUCAGUUUGUGACAGAAUGUUUUGUCAAAAUAGCCCUUGCAAAUGAAUGCGGCUACUUCGUUGCAAAGCCAGAAUGCAACCAAAGUCAGCCUGCACUUCAACGGCAGACUAAGAGAUGACGACUUUGGUUACAGCUGUGGCCUUCAGCAAUCCAGAGGCACCUCUAGCUGGGAUAGAAGAUAGAGGAGCUGGAGUAGAAGCGGAUGACUGCUGCAGUCCAGCCCUCACCUAGAAUGUCAACUCAGGCCUUGGCUUGCUACUCAAAAGAUUACCUCCCCCCAGAGGCUAUCACCACCUUCCCAAGAGGCUGCCACUGUGGAAAAGGAGCCUAGAGAAAUGUGCCACAGGUAUGUGGAGGAAGGGGGGAAUGGCAUGAUUAGGUUCAUUAGGAGAAGUUUAGGUUAAGUUGAAACUGAAUAAUCUUUCUAUAGCAACCCCUGGAAUAGGCAAUAGU
Molecule: long non-coding RNA, 484 nt
Filed under: Cricetulus griseus (Chinese hamster)
Lineage: Eukaryota; Metazoa; Chordata; Mammalia; Rodentia; Cricetidae
Description: lncRNA (ENSCGRG00015039727.1)
Source: RNAcentral